GUGCCAGCCGCCGCGGUAAUACGAGAGGCCCAAACGUUAUUCGGAUUUACUGGGCUUAAAGAGUUCGUAGGCGGCGCGGAAAGUAGGGUGUGAAAGCCCUCGGCUCAACCGAGGAAUUGCGCCCUAAACUGCCGUGCUAGAGGAACCUAGAGGUGAGCAGAACUGAUGGUGGAGCGGUGAAAUGCGUUGAUAUCAUCAGGAAUACCGGAGGCGAAGGCGGCUCACUGGGGGUUUUCUGACGCUGAGGAACGAAAGCCAGGGGAGCGAACGGGAUUAGAUACCCGUGUAGUCC
RNAcentral lists this ribosomal RNA (292 nucleotides) under uncultured bacterium. Its description in RNAcentral is "partial 16S ribosomal RNA". It matches the Rfam family "Bacterial small subunit ribosomal RNA", at positions 505 to 796 of the family's 1533-position model. The record is from RNAcentral.